This 494-nucleotide ribosomal RNA is filed under the name uncultured bacterium. Its description in RNAcentral is "partial 16S ribosomal RNA". It matches the Rfam family "Bacterial small subunit ribosomal RNA", at positions 28 to 507 of the family's 1533-position model. The record is from RNAcentral.
GACGAACGCUGGCGGCGCGCUUAACACAUGCAAGUCGAACGGAAAGGCCUGCUUUCCCUUGUGGAUUGCGGGUACUCGAGUGGCGAACGGGUGAGUAACACGUGAGUGAUCUGCCCCCAACUUGGGUAUAAGCCUGGGAAACUGGGUCUAAUUCCCGAUAGGACUGCAGGGGGGUGCCUGUGUUGGAAAACGAUUUUCUAGUGGUUGGGGAUGAGCUCGCGGCCUAUCAGCUUGUUGGUGGGGUAAUGGCCUACCAAGGCGGCGACGGGUAGCCGGCCUGGGAGGGUGGACGGCCACAUUGGGACUGAGAUACGGCCCAGACUCCUACGGGAGGCAGCAGUGGGGAAUAUUGCACAAUGGGCGGAAGCCUGAUGCAGCGACGCCGCGUGGGGGAUGACGGCCUUCGGGUUGUAAACUCCUUUCGACCGCGAGGAAGCCACCUGGUUGGAAGGGUGGUGACGGUAGUGGUAGAAGAAGCACCGGCUAACUACGUG